UUUUUUCUCAAGCAGAGCAAGAGCUUUUAUUAGAAGGUUACGGGGAAUUCCAAACUUUAAUAAAGACUCCGGGAAACACAUCAAAUGCUGCAAAAGCCAGAAGAGAGGGCUGGCAAAAAGUAGCGAAUAAAUUAAAUGCAGCCAGCAGUGGACCCAUGCGAACAUGGGAACAAGUAAAAGUAAAGUACAAGAACAUCUUACAAAAUGCAACCAAGAAAAAGGCGGAACGGAAAAAAACAGGUGGUGGUCCGGCCCCCUCUCCCUAUACUCCAGCAGAAGAGCUAGCCCUGGAUUUUAAUAGUAAGAGACCAAUUGUGGAGGGCAUCCCUGGGGGUAGCACCUCCUUAGACCCACAGCCAGGGACCAGCAGCAGCACCACCUUUAUUUCAGUUCGAAACAACACGCCCACACUUUUACCUGUCCCACAAGUGAUGUCUGAAGCAUGUGUAGACAGUGAAGAAACCCUGUCUGACGAGUGUCUGGAGGAAUUACUUGUAAGAAUGUAUGAUACAGGUGUAUGUAUCUUUGUGUAUGUAAUAUGACGGUAAUUUAUUAUUUGUGAGGUGCCGGAGUCUCCACCUCAGGAGAGGUCCACAGAUAGGGCUCCAGAGAAGCCGAUAGAAAGUGCUCCAGAAGACUCCACGCACAGAAGUGAAACUGAGGUGCCCAGUGUUAUACUUGUCAUUGAAUUUUGUUGGGAAAGGCACAUAUUGAGGUGUCCCCAUUUAGUUUUUCUGUUUCCAUAUUUGUUUUGGGUUUAGUUUUUUUUUACAUUUUU
Clarias gariepinus (North African catfish) is the source of this 778-nucleotide long non-coding RNA. RefSeq lists it as uncharacterized. The record is from RefSeq and is a predicted model, not a curated record. Lineage: Eukaryota; Metazoa; Chordata; Actinopteri; Siluriformes; Clariidae. The transcript has 5 exons.